This 539-nucleotide ribosomal RNA is filed under the name uncultured archaeon. Its description in RNAcentral is "bacterial SSU rRNA". It matches the Rfam family "Archaeal small subunit ribosomal RNA", at positions 457 to 997 of the family's 1478-position model. The record is from RNAcentral.
GGCAGCAGCCGCGGGAACACCGGCAGCUCUAGUGGUAGCAAUUUUAUUGGGCCUAAAGCGUCCGUAGCCGGUUUAAUAAGUCUCUGGUGAAAUCCUGUAGCUUAACUGUGGGAAUUGCUGGAGAUACUAUUAGACUUGAGACCGGGAGAGGUUAGAGGUACUCCCAGGGUAGAGGUGAAAUUCUGUAAUCCUGGGAGGACCGCCUGUUGCGAAGGCGUCUAACUGGAACGGUUCUGACGGUGAGGGACGAAAGUUAGGGGCGCGAACCGGAUUAGAUACCCGGGUAGUCCUAACUGUAAACGAUGCGGACUUGGUGUCGGGGUGGCUUUGAGCUGCUCCAGUGCCGAAGGGAAGCUGUUAAGUCCGCCGCCUGGGAAGUACGGUCGCAAGACUGAAACUUAAGGAAUUGGCGGGGGAGCACCACAACGCGUGGAGCCUGCGGUUUAAUUGGAUUCAACGCCGGACAUCUCACCAGAGGCGACAGCUGUAUGAUAGCCAGGUUGAUGACUUUGCUUGACUAGCUGAGUGGAGGUGCAUGG